GAUGAACGCUGGCGGCGUGCCUAAUACAUGCAAGUCGAGCGAACAGAUAAGGAGCUUGCUCCUUGGACGUUAGCGGCGGACGGAUGAGUAACAUGGGGAUAACCUACCUAUAAGACUGGUAUAACUCCGGGAAACCGGGUCUAAUGCCGGAUAACAUGUAGAACCACAUGGUUCUAAAGUAAAAGAUGGUUUUGCUAUCACUUAUAGAUGGUCCCGCGCCGUAUUAGCUAGUUGGUAAGGUAACGGCUUACCAAGGCAACGAUACGUAGCCGACCUGAGAGGGUGAUCGGCCACACUGGACUUGAGCCCCGGUCCAGCCUCCUACGGGAGGAAGCAGUAGGGAAUCUUCGGAAAUGGGCGAAAGCUUGACGGAGAAACGCCGCGUGAGUGAUGAAGGUCUUCGGAUCGUAAGCCUCUGUUAUUAGGGAAGAACAAAUGUGUAAGUAACUGUGCACGCCUUGACGGUACCUAAUCAGAAAGCGACGGCUAACUACGUG
This 497-nucleotide ribosomal RNA is filed under the name uncultured bacterium. RNAcentral's name for it is "partial 16S ribosomal RNA". It matches the Rfam family "Bacterial small subunit ribosomal RNA", at positions 28 to 507 of the family's 1533-position model. The record is from RNAcentral.